AUGGAGGCAGCCGGCGGCGACAGAAGCAAGAGGACGUGGGUGGUGGACGUGGAGAAGAAGCUCAAGGAAGCCGACAAGACGGCGGAGGUGUCGCGGUGGGAGCCUCACUGCAUCUACCGCGUGCCGCCCUGCAUGACCAACAUCAAGAGCAAGGCGUACCAGCCGCAGGUGGUGUCGCUGGGCCCCUUCCACCACGGCCACCGCGACCUGCGCCACAUGGAGGAGCACAAGCACCGGGCAUUGCGGCAGCUGCUACGGCGCGCGGACCGGCCGCUCGACGACUUCGUGGCUGUCGUGGAUGAGGUCACGGAGGAGCUGGAGGGCGCGUACAUGGACCUUCACAGCGAGGGGCGCAGCCUUGGCAGGGAGCAGUUCCUGGCCAUGAUGAUCUUCGACGGCUGCUUCCUGCUGGAGCUGAUGAGGUGCACGGCCGCCGACGGGAAGCUGGUCGGCGAGUACGCAAACAACGACCCCAUCUUCAGCCCCCACGGGAUACUCAACAUGGUGCCCUACAUUCGGCGAGACAUGCUCAUGCUCGAGAACCAGCUACCUCUACUCCUGCUCCAGAAGCUCGUUGAGGUUGAGAGUGGAAAGCCUCCGAAGAACGACUUCAUCAACCGAAUGGUGCUGAAAUUUCUAGCCCAAUCAUCUAGCCCAUUUCCACCAGGCAUCGGCCUAGGGCUCCACCCACUGGAUGUCUUUCGCCGGAGCAUGCUCACUGGUAAGUGCCAUCAAAUCUGGAGCCCCCAGGACAUUGAGGAGGACAACGCCAUCAUCCGGUCAGCACUGAAGCUCUACCAAGCCGGGAUUCAGUUCAAGCCGAGCAAGACGUUGAGCCUGCACGACAUCCAGUUUCGGAGCGGCAUGCUGAGCAUGCCGACAGUGUCGGUGGACGACUCCACCGAGUACAUGUUCCUCAACGUGAUGGCGUUCGAGCGGCUGCACGUCGGCGCAGGCAACGACGUGACCGACUACGUAUUCUUCAUGAACAGCAUCAUCGACUCCGCCAAGGACGUGGAGCUGCUGAGAUCCAAGGGUAUCAUCCACAACGCCAUCGGCAGCGACCAGGCUGUGGCCAAGCUGUUCAACACCAUUUCCAGGGAUGUGAUGCUCGAUCCCAACAGCGAGCUCGACGCAGUGCAGCGGCAGGUGAACGGCUACUUGCGGAAGCCGUGGAACAUUAGGCGCGCUAGCCUCAUCCACACAUACUUCAGGAGCCCAUGGGCGUUUCUCUCCCUCGCCGCCGCCAUCUUACUCCUCGGCAUGACCGUCAUGCAGACCAUCUACACAGUGCUGCAGUUCUACAGGGACGACAACAGCAGCCCGCCGCCAUCGGCACCAUCUCCCAUCUGA
This 1353-nucleotide ribosomal RNA is filed under the name Triticum aestivum (bread wheat). Its description in RNAcentral is "partial small subunit ribosomal RNA". Lineage: Eukaryota; Viridiplantae; Streptophyta; Magnoliopsida; Poales; Poaceae. The record is from RNAcentral.